This 94-nucleotide ribosomal RNA is filed under the name Xylobium leontoglossum. RNAcentral describes it as "5.8S ribosomal RNA". It matches the Rfam family "5.8S ribosomal RNA", at positions 1 to 89 of the family's 154-position model. From Rfam's summary of the family: 5.8S ribosomal RNA (5.8S rRNA) is a component of the large subunit of the eukaryotic ribosome. RNAcentral also lists the same sequence under 9 other names. The record is from RNAcentral. Lineage: Eukaryota; Viridiplantae; Streptophyta; Magnoliopsida; Asparagales; Orchidaceae.
GAAACGACUCUCGGCAAUGGAUAUCUCGGCUCUCGCAUCGAUGAAGAGCGCAGCGAAAUGCGAUACGUGGUGCGAAUUGCAGAAUCCCGCGAAC